Long non-coding RNA from Mastomys coucha (southern multimammate mouse), 1018 nucleotides. RefSeq lists it as uncharacterized. The transcript has 4 exons. The record is from RefSeq and is a predicted model, not a curated record. Lineage: Eukaryota; Metazoa; Chordata; Mammalia; Rodentia; Muridae.
AAGGGAGUCUUUGGAGCCCCGCUGGGGCCAUCCUUCACAUGGUCAGCCCUGCCCCGGAGUCCUGCGGGGCCCAGGGCAUGGGAAGGAAGCAGCUGUCAAGGGGCUGGGUCUGAGAGUGAUCACAAGAUGACAUAGCUAAAAAAGCUUCACUUUAAGAGCAGCCUGGAGCCUACUCAACAAUCUUGGAAUGAAAGGACUAUUGCCCGGAGAAGGGUGGAUGAUCACCCCUUCCCCUACCCAGAGACUUCUCUGAAGAAUCCCAGAAGAAAUCAGGUGGAGUGAGAGAGAUGGGGGCCUCAGAAAUUUUCAUGUAGCUUGAACUCAAGCCUUGCAUUUCAAGGGCACUGAAGACCUCCUCGAAUCGUCUCCAGCCUCAGGAACAAUCUGACAGAGAGUGCCUCAGAUCGGCUGCAGCUGGUCCUGACCCGACGACUUCUGGCUUCGCGGAAGGAGUUGUUUAUCACUCACGAGUUAUGAGCGGUACCCUAGGCAGCUGGGAGGUGCUUUAGACAUCGGACACAGUGUGAACAGCCACCCCACAGAUCAGCUGAUAAUUCUGACCUUGGGUCAAACCAGACUGCGCUUCGGCCUCUUCCUUUAGAGUUUGUAUUUUAAUGACUUGAAAUCCCCUUUGGGUUAUCUACACUGCUCUCUCUUGAUAGAAAGAAAGAAGUGUCGGUAGCCUCCUUUCCAUGGAGUGUGACUCAACUGUCACAGAGCAGCAAGUGGCCCAUCAGACGCUAUUCUCAGUGACUCCAAAAGGCAUCCCUAGGAAUCACUUCUAAGAAGCAGGAAAACCUGUGUGGGGGUGGAUCUCUCCCCCAGCCCCAGCAAGCUCUUCCUCAUCCCUGUAAGCUUCUGAUAGGGCCAGAUGAUUUUUGGUUUGGGACAGUGUCCCUCCACUCUUUCUCUGGAACAUACCUUCUCUUUAGUGGGCUCACAUUACCUAGGCUAUGUUGACAAGCCCUACUUCCCCAUGCUGGGUAGAUCACUAUUAAAAAUCACUUAUACAACACCA